Molecule: long non-coding RNA, 1555 nt
Organism: Equus caballus (horse)
Lineage: Eukaryota; Metazoa; Chordata; Mammalia; Perissodactyla; Equidae
Source: Ensembl
CAGGAUCAUGAGGGAGUGGGCCAAGAAGGGGCUGUGGAAAAGCUGGUGAUGCUCUUUACUUCUGACUUGAAAAUCCUCGCUGCUCUGGAUGAGGAGGAGCCACGUGGCAGAGGGGUCUUUCAGCGUACAUUUUUUUCAAGUCUCACCCAGUUGUGGGGCGAAGGUGGAAAAUGAAUUGAUUUACUAUGUUCAUGAUGAUAGUGAGGAGCUUCUUGACAAUUUCACCAUCUUUGCAAAUAGCUCAGAUCUUGGAAAACAGAGUUUGCCCCAAACUCUUUUUGUGGUUGUUGAAUCAGUGAACGAUGAGGCUCCAGUAAUAACAGUCAGUAAAAUCCUUCAGAAAAUGUAUGCCAACCCCUUCUGUAGACCAGCUCUAUGCAAUAGGACUUCCUGUGAUGAUGAAAAUGUUUUGUAUAUGUGCUGUUCAACACAGUAGCCACUACUCACAUGUGGCUAUGAAGUAUUUGAAAUGUGGCCAGUAUGAUUAAGGAAGAAUAGCCCUGAGCUAACAUCUGUGCCCAUCUUCCUCUGCUUUACAUGUGGGACGCCUACCACAGCAUGGCUUGUCAAUCCGUGCCAUGUCCACACCUGGGAUCCGAACCAGUGAACCCCAGGCCGCUGAAGUGGAACCUGCACACUUAACCGCUGCGCCACUGGUCCGGCCCAAGGAGAGAUCAUUUCCAUCUUGACAAACUGGAGUUAGGAAUUGGAGUUAGACCACUUCCAGUGAAUCCUUUGCAUUUUACUUUGAAAUAUGUUCUACUGAGUACUUUUGUGUUCGGGCAGACCAGUGAUUUUUGCGCAUACCUGAUAAAAUAUAUGUGUGUCCACAAGGGGGCUUCAUUUUCUUACUUUUCAACUUUUGCUUUCAAUAAUACUGUACGUUUUGUUUUGAUGGUGUUUUUUAUACCAAAAAUAGAAACACUUGCUUGUUUCUGAUAAACACUUGUCAUCAGUAAAAAGAGAGCUAGGGACAGUAGAAGAAUUAGGGGAGCACAGUCUGAAAUGAUGACUGACGGAGCAGAAGUUCGAAUAAUGGGGUAGUGAAUUCAUGAAUAUUUCACAUCCCUCCUAUGGAACUCAAAACGACGGUCUGGGUUUUUAGAUGGAUAAUAAUUAGGAUUAUACUGGACUAUAAUUAGGUUUAUAAAUCCCAUUAACCUGCUGUUUAAGUUAAAGGUGAAUUAAAAAUAUAUUAUCCCAAUUAAUGUGUUAAUUUUUUCAGAUAUUUAUUCCUUAAACCAUUAUUUCUUUGGUUUUGGAUUACUUUUAAUUCUGAAUUCAAGUUUGGGGGCCGUUGUUUUUCUUCUCCCCAUCUAUCUGAAGUUUCUAUUACCGAUGACUGGGAACCGGAUGAGGCCUCACCCAAACUAACGGGGCUGUUAAAUGAACUAAAUUUGGUUUGAGUGGCAAUGAAGACCUGAGCUUACCAGCUCUUGUUUUGAGUGGCGGGUUUUCCAUCUGUUUUGGAAGAUGGUAUUUUCCAGAGGCAAGAGGGGGCAAAAGCAGUGUUUCACAGAAGAGUAACUACAAUGGAAAACAUGUUUCAUCCAGC